This 426-nucleotide long non-coding RNA is filed under the name Nicotiana benthamiana. RNAcentral's name for it is "long non-coding RNA (NBEN_LNC028160)". Lineage: Eukaryota; Viridiplantae; Streptophyta; Magnoliopsida; Solanales; Solanaceae. The record is from RNAcentral.
AAGUUAUUUGUAUAAAAAAUCCCUAAAUAAAUAUUGUUCUGGGUUUCCAGCUUGUAAGUAGUUCAUAGUAGAUUGGGCCAUUUUGAUUUUAUCUCUAUCUAGGCAUAUUGCUAAACUGAAUCUUAUUGGGUCAGCGCAUUCAAUAAAGGGAUUUGUACAUGAUAAAAUUACUCUCUAUAACCUUUCAAAAUUUUAAUAGUCAAUAUUUUUAUUAAUUUCCAUAAAAUGAUCUUUCGAUCCAAUUUAUUUAUAAUGUGUAGCCAUUACCGUCUGAACUAAAAUAUCACAUAUCUCCAUAUCCAAAUAACAUCACAUACUCCUAACAACUUUAUUAUUUAUCAUACACGUUUUCCAACCUAACUUUAUCUCUUUUCAUCCCAAUUCUCAAGAAUAAUUUUUAAUUUUUUAGAACCCACUCACUUGUAG